UGGGGAAUUUUGGACAAUGGGCGAAAGCCUGAUCCAGCAAUGCCGCGUGUGUGAAGAAGGCCUUCGGGUUGUAAAGCACUUUUGUCCGGAAAGAAAUCCUUGGCUCUAAUACAGUCGGGGGAUGACGGUACCGGAAGAAUAAGCACCGGCUAACUACGUGCCAGCAGCCGCGGUAAUACGUAGGGUGCAAGCGUUAAUCGGAAUUACUGGGCGUAAAGCGUGCGCAGGCGGUUUGCUAAGACCGAUGUGAAAUCCCCGGGCUCAACCUGGGAACUGCAUUGGUGACUGGCAGGCUAGAGUAUGGCAGAGGGGGGUAGAAUUCCACGUGUAGCAGUGAAAUGCGUAGAGAUGUGGAGGAAUACCGAUGGCGAGGGCAGCCCCCCUGGGCCAAUACUGACGCUCAUGCACGAAAGCGUGGGGGAGCAAAACAGGAUUAGAUACCCUGGGUAGUCCACGCCCUAAACGAUGUCAACUAGUUGUUGGGGAUUCAUUUCCUUAGUAACGUAGCUAACGCGUGAAGUUGACCGCCUGGGGGAGUACGGUCGCAAGAUUAAAACUUAAAUGAAUUGACGGGGUCAUAGCUGUUUCCU
RNAcentral lists this ribosomal RNA (590 nucleotides) under uncultured bacterium. RNAcentral describes it as "partial 16S ribosomal RNA". It matches the Rfam family "Bacterial small subunit ribosomal RNA", at positions 355 to 1375 of the family's 1533-position model. The record is from RNAcentral.